This 253-nucleotide ribosomal RNA is filed under the name uncultured bacterium. RNAcentral describes it as "partial 16S ribosomal RNA". It matches the Rfam family "Bacterial small subunit ribosomal RNA", at positions 524 to 776 of the family's 1533-position model. The record is from RNAcentral.
UACGAAGGGUGCAAGCGUUACUCGGAAUUACUGGGCGUAAAGCGUGCGUAGGUGGUUUGUUAAGUCUGUUGUGAAAGCCCCGGGCUCAACCUGGGAAUGGCAAUGGAUACUGGCAGGCUAGAGUGCGGUAGAGGGUAGUGGAAUUCCCGGUGUAGCGGUGAAAUGCGUAGAGAUCGGGAGGAACACCCGUGGCGAAGGCGGCCACCUGGGCCGACCCUGACGCUGAGGCGCGAAGGCGUGGGGAGCGAACGGG